CUCAUGGGGGUGGGGAGAGCUGCUUGGAGAGGGGCUACACUUCCGUUGGGAGCCAACCAUGCCCUUUGUACGCUUUUCUUCCUUCAUUCCUCACAUCGUCCUGCAAAGGGGGCUGCUUCUGUCUGUUCUCCUAUGUGCAAGCCAAGGCACAGAGAUGUCAAGUAACUUGGACACUGUCACACAGCAGAUCGUGGCACUAGAGGUCUGUCUUCUGGGGGAUGUGCUUUUCACCACAGGGAGGUUCCUGUGUUCUGCACAGAGAGCAGGCCUGGGGGCAGAAGGGAUCCUCCCAUAAAGGGGCUCUGAUUCCGGAGCCCCUUUCAUCCUCCUAGAAGGAAAAAAACCAGCUACUAGCCCCGCCCCUUUGUUCUUGGCAGCCACUUUCUUCCCCCAACCCCAGUUGCUUCUGGCUGAGCCAUCAGCUCACUGAUUUAAACCUGAACGCCAUCCAGACAUACCAGCAGUGUGCACUUGUCUUUUGCCCAUCACAGGCUGUUUUCAGACUCGGGGUGGGGAGUGUCUGCUAUUCCUGUGUCACGUCAGGUCUGUGACUGUCACUUGGCUUCUCAGAAGCUCAGUAUCUGCAGGACAGGUCCAUGUCCCACGUGCGAAGACACGGGCUAGGGGCUUCGUUCUUGGGGCUGCCCUUGUCCGCUUGGGAUUCUGCAGGCAGAAGGUGCCAGGUUCCGAGGUGGCUCUGGGUGGAGUGAAGCCUGGUCCUUCCCGGGCAUGCCUUGGCGGGGGUGGGGGGUGAAGCCGGCCACUGACCAGGCCAUGCAUUGGAGAGAAUCGUGUCGCUGUGGAGUUCCUGCAGCCACCUGACUGGCCACAGCGCAUCCCCCCAGAGGGGGACAGUGUCAGGCAGGGGCCACCGUCUACACCUCAGCUUGCCUGGGCCGGCCAACUGCUGACUCACCGGAGGGUGUUCGAGGACAGCAAGAAAAAUGAGGGACUUUCAGGGGCAGCUGUGUUUUCUGACUCAGUCAUAAUGCCCCUAAAAAUCCUUAUUGUUCUUGCAGUGUUCAUCGGGCAGCAGCACCUGCCUGCCCCUGCCCACCUGGUGGCUCUGGGACGCGAAGGGCCCCCCGGGAUCUGGUUGGGGUGUCCUCCCCCCAUCCUUCGGAAAUGAGACGAAGGGGGACGUGCUGAGGAUGACAGCAUUUUGUUGGGCAGUGCGCUGAGUUGCGUGUGCUUUUAUCAUUUCUUUUUUGGUGGUGGACUGGGGAGGGCGGGGCAGCGAGCCGUCCCUGUGCGGAUUGGAGCCCAGGAGGACGCGGGGGCUCCUGCUUUGUGAG
Molecule: long non-coding RNA, 1295 nt
Filed under: Sus scrofa (pig)
Lineage: Eukaryota; Metazoa; Chordata; Mammalia; Artiodactyla; Suidae
Description: lncRNA (ENSSSCG00070009798.1)
Rfam family: mir-365 microRNA precursor family (bases 934-1018)
Source: RNAcentral